This 1431-nucleotide ribosomal RNA is filed under the name Enterococcus faecium. RNAcentral's name for it is "partial 23S ribosomal RNA". It matches the Rfam family "Bacterial large subunit ribosomal RNA", at positions 103 to 1536 of the family's 2925-position model. The record is from RNAcentral. Lineage: Bacteria; Bacillati; Bacillota; Bacilli; Lactobacillales; Enterococcaceae.
UCCAGAGAUUUCCGAAUGGGGGAACCCAACAUCUUUAAUAGGAUGUUACGAUUGUGUGAAUACAUAGCACAUUCGAGGUAGACGCAGAGAACUGAAACAUCUAAGUACCUGCAGGAAGAGAAAGAAAAUUCGAUUCCCUGAGUAGCGGCGAGCGAAACGGGAAAAGCCCAAACCAGCAAGCUUGCUUGUUGGGGUUGUAGGACUCCAAUAUGGUAGUUCUUUCAGAUAGUCGAAUGACUUGGAAAAGUCAGUCAAAGAGGGUAAAAACCCCGUAGACGAAAUGUGGAAGACACCUAGGAGGAUCCUGAGUACGGCGGAACACGAGAAAUUCCGUCGGAAUCCGGGAGGACCAUCUCCCAAGGCUAAAUACUCCCUAGUGACCGAUAGUGAACCAGUACCGUGAGGGAAAGGUGAAAAGCACCCCGGAAGGGGAGUGAAAUAGAACCUGAAACCGUGUGCCUACAACAAGUCAAAGCCCGUUAAUGGGUGAUGGCGUGCCUUUUGUAGAAUGAACCGGCGAGUUACGAUUGCAUGCGAGGUUAAGUUGAAGAGACGGAGCCGCAGCGAAAGCGAGUCUGAAUAGGGCGUUUGAGUAUGUAGUCGUAGACCCGAAACCAUGUGAUCUACCCAUGUCCAGGUUGAAGGUGCGGUAAAACGCACUGGAGGACCGAACCCACGUACGUUGAAAAGUGCGGGGAUGAGGUGUGGGUAGCGGAGAAAUUCCAAACGAACUUGGAGAUAGCUGGUUCUCUCCGAAAUAGCUUUAGGGCUAGCCUCGGAAUUGAGAAUGAUGGAGGUAGAGCACUGUUUGGACUAGGGGCCCAUCUCGGGUUACCGAAUUCAGAUAAACUCCGAAUGCCAUUCAUUCAUAUCCGGGAGUCAGACUGUGAGUGAUAAGAUCCAUAGUCGAAAGGGAAACAGCCCAGACCACCAGCUAAGGUCCCAAAAUAUAUGUUAAGUGGAAAAGGAUGUGGGGUUGCACAGACAACUAGGAUGUUGGCUUAGAAGCAGCCACCAUUUAAAGAGUGCGUAAUAGCUCACUAGUCGAGUGACCCUGCGCCGAAAAUGUACCGGGGCUAAACAUAUUACCGAAGCUGUGGAGUACACCUUUAGGUGUAUUGGUAGGAGAGCGUUCUAAGGGCGUUGAAGGCAGAUCGUGAGGACUGCUGGAGCGCUUAGAAGUGAGAAUGCCGGUAUGAGUAGCGAAAGACAGGUGAGAAUCCUGUCCACCGAAUGACUAAGGUUUCCUGGGGAAGGCUCGUCCGCCCAGGGUUAGUCGGGACCUAAGCCGAGGCCGACAGGCGUAGGCGAUGGAUAACAGGUUGAUAUUCCUGUACCCGUUGUUUUUGUUUGAGCAAUGGAGGGACGCAGGAGGCUAAGGAAUGCAGACGAUCGGAAAUGUCUGUCCAAGCAGUAAGUCUGAAGAGGAGU